GGGGCCGCCAUGGUUUCGACGUGGAUUGCAAAGCUAUUGAGGGCGUGUCGAGGAUCAGUUACCUCGUAAAUCCAUCUGAAAAACAGUAAACGCAAACGACGAACAGUUUGCUCUAGCAGCUUAAUCGCUCGCUAGAUCUCACACCAGCUUGCCGAUGGGCUGGGCAGGGUCAAACCUGCGGUGGGAUCAUCGCACAUCGGAUCGCUGCAUGCAGGGUUGCGAUGCAAGUGGCUAAAUCAAGCAACUCGCGGCUGUCGUAGGGUGUCCCUUCCCGACAAUGGCCGUUAAAACCAAAUAAGACGACUACACACGUAGAACUUGUAGUGGAGGAUUUGCGGACGCGGGUUCAACUCCCGCCGGCUCCACCA
This 368-nucleotide transfer-messenger RNA is filed under the name Limnobacter litoralis. It matches the Rfam family "transfer-messenger RNA". Rfam says of the family: Bacterial tmRNA, also known as 10Sa RNA or SsrA, is named for its dual tRNA and mRNA-like properties. Lineage: Bacteria; Pseudomonadati; Pseudomonadota; Betaproteobacteria; Burkholderiales; Burkholderiaceae. The record is from RNAcentral.